This 668-nucleotide long non-coding RNA is filed under the name Gallus gallus (chicken). The record is from RNAcentral. Lineage: Eukaryota; Metazoa; Chordata; Aves; Galliformes; Phasianidae.
UUCAAGGGACUACAAGCUUCCAGCCAGAAGGGCAGGGCAGAGCAGUAACUGCAACACUGUAUGAGGAAUCUGUUUAUCUUCCUGUUCCAGAGAGAAACUUUCUCCGCCCAUCCAAAGGCGCAUUUGCAAAGGCAGCUUCUGUUUUUUUCCUGGCAAAUCUACAAUGCAAAUCUAUCGUGACUGAUUGGGAGGGUAGCAUUAUCACAGAAGAUUUGGUGGACAAGUGUAAUCAGGAUCUGCAUUACCAUGGCAGCUUUCUCUGUUACGCCAAUGGGACUGCUCUGAAUUUUAAAAGAUCUGAAUUUGGCUGUGGAUGAGUAAGCAGAUGCAGUAUGCAAAUACUGUGCUUGUGACUCCAACAGCAGGUUGCAGAAAAAGAAUAUCUGAUCAAUCGCCCUGUCCCAGACUAGCCGCAGGAAAUGUUGCUUCUGGUAUGAUGGGGCUUUACAGAUGUCUGUCUCAUCAUUGUGUUUUACUACUCAAAUGUCCUUGAAAUUUUCAAGAUAGAGCUUUAAGAAGCAACACAAAAUGUUUGAUAAAGUGACAUUAUUUUAUACUAUACAGAAUAACUGAGAAAGUGAUGUGAAACAAGUGCCUACAAUAUGUUUAUUUUUUUCUUGAAAGUUUGACUUUUCAGAUUGUAAAACUUCAACCUGCUACCCAUGAAG